UUUUAAUAUAAGUAUACUGGCAGUCUCUACAUAUGUGAGACAUUGCAGUGUAUAGCAGGAGGAUUAACGUCAGUGCUUUAGAUGUCCAGAAUUAUGCAUCAUGGAGCCCAAUGAUAUUUGUGGGUAUUAGGGGGGGGCAGGGUCAAGAGUGGAUAUUAAGGUGAGAAGUACAUUGUGGGGACCAAGAGUAUGCUUGGGUAUUAGAGAAAGCAGUUAAUUAACCAGGGAGGGCAAGUUAUUGUGGGGACCUGGGUUAUGUGUGGAUAUUAGGAGGAGCAUGGUUAUGUGUGGGUAUUAGGGAAGCAGUGCAUUGUGGGGGCACGGGUUAUGUGUGGGUAUUAGGGAAGCAGUGCAUUGUGGGGGCAUAGGUUAUGUGUGGGUAUUAGAGGAAACAGUUGAUUGUUGGGGCCAGGGUUAUGUGUGGGUAUUAGAGAAGCAGUGCAUUGUGGGGGCACGGGUUAUGUGUGGGUAUUAGGGAAGCAGUGCAUUGUGGGGGCACGGGUUAUGUGUGGGUAUUAGGGAAGCAGUGCAUUGUGGGGGCAUAGGUUAUGUGUGGGUAUUAGAGGAAACAGUUGAUUGUUGGGGCCAGGGUUAUGUGUGGGUAUUAGAGAAGCAGUGCAUUGUGGGGGCACGGGUUAUGUGUGGGUAUUAGGGAAGCAGUGCAUUGUGGGGGCACGGGUUAUGUGUGGGUAUUAGGGAAGCAGUGCAUUGUGGGGGCAUAGGUUAUGUGUGGGUAUUAGAGGAAACAGUUGAUUGUUGGGGCCAGGGUUAUGUGUGGGUAUUAGGGAAGCAGUGCAUUGUGGGGGCAUGGGUUAUGUGUGGGUAUUAGGGAAGCAGUGCAUGGUGGGGGCACGGGUUAUGUGUGGGUAUUAGGUAAGCAGUGCAUUGUGGGGGCAUGGGUUAUGU
Molecule: non-coding RNA, 906 nt
Organism: Pelobates cultripes (western spadefoot toad)
Lineage: Eukaryota; Metazoa; Chordata; Amphibia; Anura; Pelobatidae
Source: the annotation of a GenBank genome assembly